CCUACGGGAGGCAGCAGUGGGGAAUAUUGCACAAUGGGCGAAAGCCUGAUGCAGCGACGCCGCGUGAGGGAUGACGGCCUUCGGGUUGUAAACCUCUUUCAGCAGGGAAGAAGCGAAAGUGACGGUACCUGCAGAAGAAGCGCCGGCUAACUACGUGCCAGCAGCCGCGGUAAUACGUAGGGCGCAAGCGUUGUCCGGAAUUAUUGGGCGUAAAGAGCUCGUAGGCGGCUUGUCACGUCGGUUGUGAAAGCCCGGGGCUUAACCCCGGGUCUGCAGUCGAUACGGGCAGGCUAGAGUGUGGUAGGGGAGAUCGGAAUUCCUGGUGUAGCGGUGAAAUGCGCAGAUAUCAGGAGGAACACCGGUGGCGAAGGCGGACCUCUGGGCCAUUACUGACGCUGAGGAGCGAAAGCGUGGGGAGCGAACAGGAUUAGAUACCCUGGUAGUCCACGCCGUAAACGGUGGGAACUAGGUGUUGGCGACAUUCCACGUCGUCGGUGCCGCAGCUAACGCAUUAAGUUCCCCGCCUGGGGAGUACGGCCGCAAGGCUAAAACUCAAAGGAAUUGACGG
This 568-nucleotide ribosomal RNA is filed under the name uncultured bacterium. RNAcentral's name for it is "bacterial SSU rRNA". It matches the Rfam family "Bacterial small subunit ribosomal RNA", at positions 338 to 916 of the family's 1533-position model. The record is from RNAcentral.